AAUCAACGCUGGCGGCGUGCCUCAGACAUGCAAGUCGAACGCGAAAGUCCCCUUCGGGGGACAAGUAGAGUGGCGCACGGGUGAGUAACACGUAGGUAAUCCACCUUCGGAUGGGGAAUAACAACCGGAAACGGGUUGCUAAUACCGCAUAAUGCAGCGGCACCUAAUGGUGACAGUUGUUAAAGCGGGGGAUCGAAAGACCUCGCGUCUGAAGAGGAGCCUGCGGCGGAUUAGCAGUUGGUAAGGUAACGGCUUACCAAGGCGACGAUCCGUAGCCGGCCUGAGAGGGGCGGUCGGCCACACUGACACUGACAUACGGGUCAGACUCCGUACGGGAGGCAGCAGUCGGGAAUUUUGGGCAAUGGGCGGAAGCCUGACCCAGCAACGCCGCGU
RNAcentral lists this ribosomal RNA (393 nucleotides) under uncultured bacterium. RNAcentral describes it as "bacterial SSU rRNA". It matches the Rfam family "Bacterial small subunit ribosomal RNA", at positions 32 to 402 of the family's 1533-position model. The record is from RNAcentral.